This 450-nucleotide long non-coding RNA is filed under the name Homo sapiens (human). Its description in RNAcentral is "HSALNT0342264". Lineage: Eukaryota; Metazoa; Chordata; Mammalia; Primates; Hominidae. The record is from RNAcentral.
ACACUUCCGGCCUUUGUGGGCCGCAGCGACGGCGGUCUGCGGCUGUCGGUUCUGUUUGUUGCUGUCACUGCUGUUUGUUCUUGCCAGCGGCUAGGGUCUGGCUGUUUUGCCCAGAAUGGAGUGCAGUGGCGUGAUGGUCUCGGCUGACAGCAGCCUCGACCUCCUGGGCUCAAGCCUUGGCCUCCCAAAGUGCUGGGAUUACAGCCACCAUCCUGUGAGGAAGCCCAGAGCACAUGAAGAGACCACCUGCACAUGUUCAGAUCCACUGCCCCAGCUAAGAUCUCCGCUGACAGCCAGACCAAUCACCAAUCUUAGGAGCUGGCGAGCCUUCAGAUGGUCCAACCUUUGAGGCCCCCCAGAGGAGCCAGGUGGAGCAUAGAUGAGCCAUCCAUGUGGAUCCCUCCACCAAAUGGAAGAUUUAGGAGCAAAAUAAACAAUGUUGUCAUUGCU